This 554-nucleotide ribosomal RNA is filed under the name uncultured bacterium. RNAcentral describes it as "bacterial SSU rRNA". It matches the Rfam family "Bacterial small subunit ribosomal RNA", at positions 777 to 1329 of the family's 1533-position model. The record is from RNAcentral.
AAUAGAUACCCGGGUAGUCCACCCCGUAAACGUUGGGAACUAGUUGUGGGGUCCUUUCCACGGAUUCCGUGACGCAGCUAACGCAUUAAGUUCCCCGCCUGGGGAGUACGGCCGCAAGGCUAAAACUCAAAGGAAUUGACGGGGACCCGCACAAGCGGCGGAGCAUGCGGAUUAAUUCGAUGCAACGCGAAGAACCUUACCAAGGCUUGACAUACACCAGAACACCCUAGAAAUAGGGGACUCUUUGGACACUGGUGAACAGGUGGUGCAUGGUUGUCGUCAGCUCGUGUCGUGAGAUGUUGGGUUAAGUCCCGCAACGAGCGCAACCCUCGUUCUAUGUUGCCAGCACGUAAUGGUGGGAACUCAUGGGAUACUGCCGGGGUCAACUCGGAGGAAGGUGGGGAUGACGUCAAAUCAUCAUGCCCCUUAUGUCUUGGGCUUCACGCAUGCUACAAUGGCCGGUACAAAGGGUUGCCAAGCCGCGAGGUGGAGCCAAUCCCCAAAAGCCGGUCUCAGUUCGGAUCGGAGUCUGAAACCCGACUCCGUGAAGUUGG